RNAcentral lists this ribosomal RNA (472 nucleotides) under uncultured bacterium. RNAcentral's name for it is "bacterial SSU rRNA". It matches the Rfam family "Bacterial small subunit ribosomal RNA", at positions 8 to 526 of the family's 1533-position model. The record is from RNAcentral.
AGGGUUUGAUCAUGGCUCAGAGCGAACGCUGGCGGCAGGCCUAACACAUGCAAGUCGAACGGAUCCUUCGGGAUUAGUGGCGGACGGGUGAGUAACACGUGGGAACGUGCCCUUUGGUUCGGAACAACUCAGGGAAACUUGAGCUAAUACCGGAUGUGCCCUUCGGGGGAAAGAUUUAUCGCCAUUGGAGCGGCCCGCGUCUGAUUAGCUAGUUGGUGGGGUAAAGGCCCACCAAGGCGACGAUCAGUAGCUGGUCUGAGAGGAUGAUCAGCCACAUUGGGACUGAGACACGGCCCAAACUCCUACGGGAGGCAGCAGUGGGGAAUCUUGCGCAAUGGGCGAAAGCCUGACGCAGCCAUGCCGCGUGAAUGAUGAAGGUCUUAGGAUUGUAAAAUUCUUUCACCGGGGACGAUAAUGACGGUACCCGGAGAAGAAGCCCCGGCUAACUUCGUGCCAGCCGCCGCGGUAAUAC